Molecule: non-coding RNA, 536 nt
Organism: Sinocyclocheilus anshuiensis
Lineage: Eukaryota; Metazoa; Chordata; Actinopteri; Cypriniformes; Cyprinidae
Source: the annotation of a RefSeq genome assembly
GUCUUGACUCUACAGAACUUUUUGUCUCAUUGAUAAUGUUGCUCCUUGUCCUCAUGACAUUUUCCCUUUGUAAGGAUAAUGUUGAUGCUGAAUUGAUAACAUCAUUCUUCACAAAGCAGCAUGUUUUGGCAGGAAGAGAUGUUACACUUUCCUGCAACUACAGUGGUAAUGUUCGCAGUCUGCAGUGGUACCGUCAGCAUCCCGGAUCCAAACCUGAAAAUAUAAUUUAUUACACUGAGAGCAGCAGUCAGUCAGAGCCCAAGCUUCGUCUGUACGCUGUGGCCGAUAAAGGAAUCAAACUUAUGAAUCUGAGCAUAUCUUCUACACAAAUGGAUGAUUCUGCUCUGUACUACUGUGCUCUGCAGCCCACAAAGCCUGGAUCAAAACCAGAGUUUCUGCUGCUGAUUGUUGAGUCCACUAAAUAUGUCAACAAAGCUGACCAACCUCAUCCACAUAUGUCCAUCAGACUCCGUAAUGAUAAACGUGUGGAUCUGGAGAUCUCCUCUGCUGCUGUAUCAGACUCUGCAGUGUAUUAA